UUUAGAUAAACUGGGGGACUGGGCACCCAAAUAGCAGAUGAAAUUUAACAUUUAACAUUGAAAAAUGCAAAGUUAUGAACUUCGGCAUAAAGAAUGCACAAGCAAAGUAUAUUCUUAAUGGAAGCAAAUUAGAGAUAACAACACACGAAAAGGACUUGGGAAUUGUUAUAGACAACAAACUAUGCAACAAUGUGCAAUGUCAAUC
Molecule: non-coding RNA, 205 nt
Organism: Pelobates cultripes (western spadefoot toad)
Lineage: Eukaryota; Metazoa; Chordata; Amphibia; Anura; Pelobatidae
Source: the annotation of a GenBank genome assembly